GCUGCUAUAGCUCAGUUGGUAGAGCGCAUCCUUGGUAAGGAUGAGGUCGUCAGUUCGACUCUGACUAGCAGCUCCA
RNAcentral lists this transfer RNA (76 nucleotides) under Clostridia bacterium. RNAcentral describes it as "tRNA-Thr". It matches the Rfam family "tRNA". From Rfam's summary of the family: Transfer RNA (tRNA) molecules are approximately 80 nucleotides in length. Their secondary structure includes four short double-helical elements and three loops (D, anti-codon, and T loops). Lineage: Bacteria; Bacillati; Bacillota; Clostridia. The record is from RNAcentral.